GCCCCGGCCGCGGUGGCCGGCGCGGCCUGCCCUUUGUGCCCGCAGCCCGCGUCCGUGCCCAUGGCCGCCGCGCUGGGCGCCCGCCCGCGGACCUAGCCCCCGCGCCUGGGAUGCGCCGGGGAUGCGCGUGCCGCGGCCCUGCGGCUGCCGGCGGCUGGGUGCGCGGCGAUGGAGCGCGGCAUGAGGAAGUUCAGCGUGCGCCGCUUCUUCUCGGUGUACCUGCGCAGGAAGUCGCGCUCCAAGAGCUCCAGCCUGAGCCGGCUCGAGGAGGAAGGCAUCGUGAAGGAGAUCGACAUCAGUCAUCAUGUCAAAGAAGGCUUCGAAAAGGCAGACCCUUCCCAGUUUGAACUGUUGAAAGUUUUAGGACAAGGAUCCUAUGGAAAGGUGUUCCUGGUGAGGAAGGUAAAGGGGUCUGAUGCUGGGCAGCUCUAUGCAAUGAAAGUCCUCAAGAAAGCUACCUUAAAAGUUCGGGACCGGGUCAGGUCGAAGAUGGAGAGAGACAUUCUGGCAGAAGUGAACCAUCCCUUCAUUGUAAAGCUUCAUUACGCCUUUCAGACGGAAGGGAAGCUCUACCUGAUCCUGGACUUCCUGCGGGGAGGGGACCUCUUCACCCGACUCUCCAAAGAGGUGAUGUUCACCGAGGAGGAUGUCAAAUUCUACCUGGCUGAGCUUGCCCUGGCUCUGGACCACCUGCACGGCCUGGGCAUCAUCUACAGAGACCUGAAACCUGAGAACAUCCUCCUGGAUGAAGAAGGACAUAUCAAAAUCACAGAUUUCGGCCUGAGUAAGGAAGCCAUCGACCACGAUAAGAGAGCGUAUUCAUUCUGCGGGACGAUAGAGUACAUGGCGCCCGAGGUGGUGAACCGGCGGGGACACACGCAGAGUGCCGACUGGUGGUCCUUCGGCGUGCUCAUGUUCGAGAUGCUCACGGGGUCCCUGCCGUUCCAGGGGAAGGACAGGAAGGAGACCAUGGCCCUCAUCCUCAAAGCCAAGCUGGGGAUGCCUCAGUUCCUGAGCACAGAGGCCCAGAGCCUGCUGAGAGCCCUCUUCAAACGGAACCCCUGCAACCGGCUGGGUGCUGGCAUUGACGGAGUGGAGGAAAUUAAGCGUCACCCUUUCUUCGGUACUGUAGACUGGAAUAAGCUGUACCGGAAGGAAAUCAAGCCACCCUUCAAGCCAGCAGUGGGCAGGCCCGAAGACACCUUCCACUUUGACCCUGAGUUCACAGCACGGACACCCACAGACUCUCCUGGUGUCCCCCCGAGUGCCAACGCUCACCACCUGUUUAGAGGAUUCAGUUUUGUGGCCUCCAACCUGGUCCAGGAGCCCUCACAGCAGGAUCUGCACAAGGUCCCUGUUCACCCGAUUGUGCAGCAGUUACACGGGAACAAUAUCCACUUCACCGAUGGCUACGAGAUCAAAGAGGACAUUGGGGUGGGCUCCUACUCAGUGUGCAAGCGAUGUGUGCAUAAAGCCACUGAUGCAGAGUACGCCGUGAAGAUCAUUGAUAAGAGUAAAAGAGACCCCUCAGAAGAGAUCGAGAUCCUGCUGCGGUACGGCCAGCACCCAAACAUCAUCACCCUCAAAGACGUCUAUGACGACGGCAAGUUCGUGUACCUGGUCAUGGAGCUGAUGCGUGGCGGCGAGCUCCUGGACCGCAUCCUCCGGCAGCGCUACUUCUCGGAGCGUGAGGCGAGCGACGUGCUGUGCACCAUCACCAAGACCAUGGACUACCUCCACUCCCAGGGGGUUGUUCAUCGAGACCUGAAGCCGAGUAAUAUUCUGUACAUGGACGAGUCUGGAAACCCGGAAUCCAUCCGCAUCUGUGACUUUGGGUUUGCCAAGCAGCUGCGAGCGGAGAACGGGCUGCUGAUGACGCCCUGCUACACCGCAAACUUUGUGGCCCCCGAGGUCCUGAAGCGGCAGGGCUAUGAUGCGGCGUGUGACAUCUGGAGUCUGGGGAUCCUGCUGUACACCAUGCUGGCGGGAUUUACCCCUUUUGCAAACGGACCAGACGAUACUCCCGAGGAGAUUCUGGCAAGGAUUGGCAGUGGGAAAUACGCCCUUUCAGGGGGAAACUGGGAUUCUAUAUCUGACGCAGCAAAAGAUGUCGUGUCCAAGAUGCUCCACGUCGACCCUCACCAGCGCCUGACGGCAGUUCAAGUGCUAAAACACCCGUGGAUUGUCAACAGAGAGUACCUGUCCCAAAACCAGCUCAGCAGACAGGACGUGCACCUGGUGAAGGGUGCUGUGGCUGCCACCUACUUCGCUCUGAACAGAACACCUCAGGCUCCGCGGCUGGAGCCAGUGCUGUCAUCCAACCUGGCCCAGCGCCGAGGCAUGAAGAGACUCACAUCCACGCGGUUAUAGCAGGAAAGCAAGACACCUGGUCGCCAGCCCCGCGCGUCCCCAGCCCAGCGCCCUCUUGGGCUCGCAGGCGCUGGACUCGGAUCCUGCUCACGGGCACCCCGCCGUGACCACGCGUCCAGCAUGAAGGCAGAACCCGCCUUCGCCGUUUGUGUGUUUUCUUUUUCGGCCCUGGCACGGAUCCCGACCGGUGACGUCUCAGAGCCUCGCUGUGCCAACCCUGCACCCACCUCCUCCAUCCCGAGCAAAACCAAAUGCCACUGUGCCACCGUGCUGAUUCUAGAGGCUCCUUCAGAAUCUUAGGUCUUUUCAUGUCAUGGCUUAUACUUCUAUGGGGAGAGAUUUUUCCCGUUAUGAAGCCAGUCGCUAGGUUCUCCUCCCAGCAGAGGCGUCCUCGUGGUCCUGGUAGGACAGUGUCAGUGGAGGAGGUGUCAUGGGCGGUCAGAGGGCGGGAGCCACCAGCACUCUGGCGUUCUGGCAGGUGGAAUGAUGUGGGGCUUUCACUGUGGCACCCCAGAGGGGACGCCUGGUCCCGUCCAAAGAAAUCCAAAGAGCUGUUACCGCACAGCUGCCUCUAGUUUUUGACUGGGGUGCUGGGUGGCCUCGCCUUUCCUGUCACAGGUUUGAAUGAGCGGAAAGAGCCCAGCCAAGAAUCGGGGUAGCAUGGCUUUGCCGCUAAAGCUACACUUCACAGCAUCGAGGGGGGCUCCGGGAAGGGGCCAGGUGGAGCUGUAUUUACCAUGUCCUGGCCCUCCCGUGGAGGGGCCGUGACUGUUGCAGUCACGGGCCACCAGAGGCUUCCCCGAGAGCUCCAGUGGUGGCGGUGGCCAUGCCGAGCCCACGGCAGCUUGCGUGUGCUGACCCAGAGCGGGGUUUGCUGUGCUCGCUUGUGUUUUUCUGGUCUACAGAAAAACCAGCUAUUGGAAAAGUUGGGCUUUGCCGCCUCCCACCGAUGCUUUAGAGCCCAGAGGCCCCCUCCCCCAGGGCAGGGGUGGCGGGGAGGAAGCUGAGGUCGCCUUACGGACAGUAGUGAUGCACUUUGUAGAAGCUGUGCUUUUGUGUUGCGUUGUGUGUCUGUGUUGCAUAGAUCUGUUUUCAAAUUGACAUUUCACUGGUAUUUUAUGUUUCCCUGGGUGUGCUGUGCACACGGGCGUGGGCCAUGCUGUGCUGUCCUUUCUUAAAUAAAAUCAUGUGAGAAGGUUCCUGGGCAGGCCCUGCACGCUGCCCAGAGAGCGAACAUGUGCUCUUCAGCCUCCCAUAGGGAUGCCGAGGACGCCCUCCCAGUGGUCCCCCAGCCAGGGGCCCACCCACCUGGCUCCCCGCCCACUGCCACCGGCGCCUUCCCCCCAGCACCGCUGAGGAGCAGCCCCUGUGUGCCAGGUGGGGCUCAGGAGGCCCACGUUGGUCACAGCCGGGUUUUCACUAAGGAGCCUGUAUUUCAUAGUUUCCUUUUUCCCUCCAUCUCCAUCUGCUCUGGCACACACACACAAAGACUGCCGCAUUCUGAAAAAUAACCCCUUAGCUUGGUCUAAUUGUGUUCAGACCUUAAAAUAUAAACUUGUUUCAGAAGCUUUAUCUCAUGAUGUUUUUUUCCCCAGAGAACCACAAAAUAUGAAAGGUAGGGACAGAUCAUGUACCUGUUUUCCUAUAGUGUCCGUUGGGCACUUCUUAUAUUUUCUCAAUAGAAAAUGCUUUUUCCCAAGACUAAAAUGACUUCCACUAUGAUCAUUUUUUAGGUCUGAAUUAUUCCAUUUCUUAGAAACUUAGAAAAAUUGGAUAGUUCUUAGGUCUCAGAUUUUGUCCCCCUAGAAGUGGACAAAGGUGUUACAGCUGCUCCCUACGCAGGCAUCGGCUGCCGGGCUUUGGCUGGGAUCAUUUGCACAUGUGUGUGUUUGCUUGUGGUCCAUAAGUUCUGAUGGAGGAAGGGGAGGGGACCCCAGGAGUGACUGAGAAAUCAUCGCUGAGAAGGCGGCCGUGGCGUGUUCUCCAUGGGCCACAUCGUGCCGGCCUGUUGUCUUUUUCAGUCAUGCCCAUUUGCACAGCCUUAGGUUCUGAACUGAGCAUGCCACAGGGACCGAUGAGACUCACCGGCACACCAGACUGUCCCCAACCACAUUAGCUGUGCGUCAGCAGAGCACGAUAUGGGUCACCUGCUCGCCGAGUGUCUGGAGAACCCCUCCACGGUCCCAUCCUUAUCCAGCACAAAAUGAUACUUGAAAUCCUUCAACAGAAAGUCAGCCUAAAGAAGUUAUAAUAUUUUAAACUAAACUUUCAAAACUCAAGUGAACAGCAAGUGGCUGGGCCUUAUCAACAGCGGUUGAUGUGUGCAUGAAGGUGUGAUGACAAGUUUCACUUCACCUGUUCAGCUCACCUCCACAUGUAAUGAGAGACUCCGUGUGGUUUGCGCGAAUGACAUAGACUUCCCAGAAAGUUAAAUAGCUCCCCCUGCUCACACAGAAGGUCAUAACCGGCUGCAUCAUAAACACCGCAGGACUUGUCAUGAGAAAACCGAGCCCUAGGUCUCGAGCUCCCUAGCCCACCGCUAGAUGGCGCCACCCUACAGAGUCCCCCAUCCUGCAGCCCAUUGAUGGGAGAGCUUGGCCAAUUCCACCCCCAAAGUCAAACGCGGGCAAGAGGCCACUGCCAGCCUCCGCUGCUACCACAUGGCACCUCACGGACAGGGAGUGACAAAUGGUGGAAAAAAGCAAACCCUUUCUUGGACUCUAGAGAGAAGCAGGGGCGAGGACUUCUCAGCUUACUGCAUUCACAGAAGAGCCCACACUUGGAUCCAGAAUAGAAGUAGCCCCAUUUCUCCAGGCCACAUGGACACAGGAAGUCCACAGCCUGCUCCAAAUUUGUUUUGUAUGGGAAAUAAUCAUUUCCUGUUUUCAUCCCAAAUGAAAAGCCUUUGCAUUUUUCAGCACUUACCAGCUUCACAGGGAAACUAAAAAAGGUCUUUAAUUUCAAAAGCUCAUUCAUUUUCUAUUUCCUAUUAAAUUGCUGGUUUUUUUCCAGGACUAAAUUUGUAUUUGCAUAUUGCAGAUGAGAUCAUUCGAAUUCAUAAACCGAGGAGCCUUCUGAUGGGCUAAUAGAGGCACACAGCACUUUUUCUCAAAAUGUAAUCACAAAACCUGAAAUUCGAAACAUCUGACAAAGAACUUAAGGACCUUUUACUCCAAAUCUUCCUCGUGGAGACGGGAGUGUGCUCAGGGUCACACAGCCACCCUGAACUUAGGGAUUAAAGCUGGAGCUCUCCCCCACCUUAUGUUUCUAGUUC
RNA transcript from Cynocephalus volans (Philippine flying lemur), 5644 nucleotides. It is a transcript of the gene named ribosomal protein S6 kinase A2, with no coding region annotated. Lineage: Eukaryota; Metazoa; Chordata; Mammalia; Dermoptera; Cynocephalidae. The record is from RefSeq and is a predicted model, not a curated record. The transcript has 23 exons.